GAGUUUGAUCGUGGCUCAGAUUGAACGCUGGCGGCAGGCCUAACACAUGCAAGUCGAGCGGUAGAGAGAAGCUUGCUUCUCUUGAGAGCGGCGGACGGGUGAGUAAUGCCUAGGAAUCUGCCUGGUAGUGGGGGAUAACGCUCGGAAACGGACGCUAAUACCGCAUACGUCCUACGGGAGAAAGCAGGGGACCUUCGGGCCUUGCGCUAUCAGAUGAGCCUAGGUCGGAUUAGCUAGUUGGUGAGGUAAUGGCUCACCAAGGCGACGAUCCGUAACUGGUCUGAGAGGAUGAUCAGUCACACUGGAACUGAGACACGGUCCAGACUCUACGGGAGGCAGCAGUGGGGAAUAUUGGACAAUGGCGAAAGCCUGAUCCAGCCAUGCCGCGUGUGUGAAGAAGGUCUUUCGGGAUUGUAAAGCUACUUUAAGUUGGGAGGAAGGGCAGUAAAUUAAUACUUUG
Molecule: ribosomal RNA, 460 nt
Filed under: uncultured bacterium
Lineage: Bacteria
Description: bacterial SSU rRNA
Rfam family: Bacterial small subunit ribosomal RNA
Source: RNAcentral